AUUGCAAUAGCUUCAUGUAUGAUAACGAUUAUUUGGAAAUUUUGGCUUUUGCAACAAUUUUACUUUCCCCCCAUAAUUUCCCUCUUCAAAUUUCACUAAAUCCAAUUUUAUCAGCGCCUAGACAUUUUUUUUAAUUCCUAAAACUUGUUCUCUAACCUUAGAGCAUAUCAAAAUAUCCCUACACCUUCUCAUAGCUUCGACCAUUUGAAACCCUAACCCCUCCGGCAAGUCACUCCUGCAAGGCACUCUGUACAUCUUUUCAACCUCACAGAGCCUAGGGAAAGUAAUAUUAUGGUAGCGACAAAGAGUCAAGGUCUGGUUCUUGGGAAUGUCCAAGCUUCAGCUCAAUACUUGCAUAUAAUCCUUAUAAUGAGCCCAACAUUGAAGUUUUCAGUAUUUGGUUUUGCAGGUAAGUUGGGAGAUUAAAGGUGAGAGUUAUGUGGGCAAUCAACCCUUGUACGAUCUUGAAGAUCAACACAAGAGAUUAAGGUUAAUAUAUUUUUAAAUGUUGUGUCUUAUUCCAGCACUUAGUUCAUCUCUGGGACUACUUUGAAUUUGAAUUUGCAAAGCUUUAUCGACUUCUUUGAGCUGAAUUACACUUGAAGUUUCAAGGUGGAACGGAUGAGCAAAGAGUAGAUGAAAGCGGCAACAAUAUUGUUUAGAGUUAUGAGAUUAUUUUAAAAUAUAGUGUAUUAAGAUAUUUUAGGAAUCUUUUAUUUUGGAUUUUCAUUACUUUGAGAGCUUAUGUAUGCUUUCGAAUUGUUAGAAUUUUUGUGGAACGUCUAAAUAAAUUCUAGCAAUAGCUUCAACAAAUUAUUUGUAAACCUUCA
Nicotiana attenuata is the source of this 830-nucleotide long non-coding RNA. RefSeq lists it as uncharacterized. The record is from RefSeq and is a predicted model, not a curated record. The transcript has 5 exons. Lineage: Eukaryota; Viridiplantae; Streptophyta; Magnoliopsida; Solanales; Solanaceae.